RNAcentral lists this unclassified non-coding RNA (377 nucleotides) under soil metagenome. RNAcentral's name for it is "partial contains 5.8S ribosomal RNA, internal transcribed spacer 2, and large subunit ribosomal RNA". The stretch from base 1 to 120 matches the Rfam family "5.8S ribosomal RNA", at positions 35 to 154 of the family's 154-position model. The record is from RNAcentral.
GAUGAAGAAUGUAGCGAAAUGCGAUAAGUAAUGUGAAUUGCAGAAUUCAGUGAAUCAUCGAAUCUUUGAACGCAUCUUGCGCUCCUUGGUAUUCUGAGGAGCAUGCCUGUUUGAGUGUCAUUAAAUUCUCAACUACACUGACUUUGAAUUGGUGUGGCUUGGAUUUGGGUGGGAAAAUUGUUGUGGGCUUUUUGUAUAGUCUGCUCCCCUGAAAUUGAUUAGCGGUACCUUUGUGGAACUGUCUACAGGUGUGAUAAUUAUCUACAUCCUAGACAUCUGCUGGAAUGCUGCUUUCUAAACCUUACUUGUAUUGACAAUCUUGACCUCAAAUCAGGUAGGACUACCCGCUGAACUUAAGCAUAUCAAUAAGCGGAGGA